Myotis lucifugus (little brown bat) is the source of this 75-nucleotide non-coding RNA. The record is from Rfam. NCBI's taxonomy places the organism in Eukaryota, Metazoa, Chordata, Mammalia, Chiroptera, Vespertilionidae.
GAGACAACUCUAUGGACCAGGACUUGCUUUAGUGGGGCUUUGGUGCUCACUGAGUCUGUCCCUUGAUGUGUCUCU